RNAcentral lists this ribosomal RNA (468 nucleotides) under uncultured bacterium. RNAcentral's name for it is "partial 16S ribosomal RNA". It matches the Rfam family "Bacterial small subunit ribosomal RNA", at positions 28 to 507 of the family's 1533-position model. The record is from RNAcentral.
GACGAACGCUGGCGGCGUGCUUAACACAUGCAAGUCGAACGGAAAGGCCCUGCUUUUGUGGGGUGCUCGAGUGGCGAACGGGUGAGUAACACGUGAGUAACCUGCCCUUGACUUUGGGAUAACUUCAGGAAACUGGGGCUAAUACCGGAUAGGAGCUCCUGCUGCAUGGUGGGGGUUGGAAAGUUUCGGCGGUUGGGGAUGGACUCGCGGCUUAUCAGCUUGUUGGUGGGGUAGUGGCUUACCAAGGCUUUGACGGGUAGCCGGCCUGAGAGGGUGACCGGCCACAUUGGGACUGAGAUACGGCCCAGACUCCUACGGGAGGCAGCAGCAGGGAAUAUUGCACAAUGGGCGGAAGCCUGAUGCAGCAACGCCGCGUGCGGGAUGACGGCCUUCGGGUUGUAAACCGCUUUCGCCUGUGACGAAGCGUGAGUGACGGUAAUGGGUAAAGAAGCACCGGCUAACUACGUG